AAAACAGCAUGUCCCAGCAGUGUCUGGCUGGAAAAUGUUACAUUACCAGUCUAACCAUAUUUCUCUUUGCAAUAACAUUCCUUGCUUUUCUGUUCCCCAUGGAGCAUCAUCUCACAACAGUAGCAGUAGCUUCUUGGCAGCUCCUCAACUAAAUGAAUGGUGCUGUUUUAUUUCCCCUCUGCCUGGGAGUCUGGGAGGAGCAGCAGAAUUUGUCUUUGCCCUGUAUCCUCCUUGGUUUGCUCAUCCCCAGCUGCCUGGCCUGGCUGGGCUAUCAGAUCAGACCUAGUGUCUCUUUCCUCUUUGCUUCUGCCUGCUGCCUCACCGUCUCUCCACAGCAGAAGCCCAAAGCAAAGACAAGCCAGGAUGGCUGCAGGACCAGCUCCAAAAGGGAGAGGGAAAGCUCUCUGAAGCUGGGCAGGAUGCUCUGAGACACUGAGCAACCCAGUGCUGCCCUGGCUCUUCAUCUCUGCAAUGUGGACCAGCAGCCCCUCGCUGCAGAUUCCAAGGCCAUGGCGCUCAAUGUAGGGCAGGAACUUCAUCUCUGCAUCCAGUUUAACCCAGUUUAUGAGAACAAUCUGAAUAGCUGGGUGGCCAAGAGGGUUCUCCAGGAUGUGCUUCAUGGAGCAUCCUCAAGAGGAGCAGGUCACUGUUCAGGGAGAAGUCUACAUCCCAAAUCUCCAGACCCAGGCCAUGGACUUUGGCUGCAACAGGAAUGACACUGAACAAGUGCUGUAUAUGGAGAUGACCAACUGCAGCCCAAUUCCUGCCCAGUACCACUGGUCAUUCCAGACAGACAGCCAGACACCAUCAGGAGCUCUGUGGGACCAUUGGACUGUGAGCACAUCCUGGGAGUAUGCCUGCCUCGCUCUAGGUAAAGCAGGGAGGAAUUCUGAUGUACCAUGUGAGUGA
Molecule: long non-coding RNA, 909 nt
Filed under: Junco hyemalis (dark-eyed junco)
Lineage: Eukaryota; Metazoa; Chordata; Aves; Passeriformes; Passerellidae
Description: lncRNA (ENSJHYG00000000846.1)
Source: RNAcentral